AUGAUCACCUCAGCCACUGGAAUUAUUUCUCUUCUCGAUGAAGAAGAACCACAGCUUAAGGAAUUUGCACUACACAAAUUGAAUGCAGUUGUCAAUGACUUCUGGGCAGAAAUUUCUGAGUCUGUAGACAAAAUAGAAGUUUUGUAUGAAGAUGAAGGUUUCCAGAGUAAGCAGUUUGCAGCCUUAGUGGCAUCUAAAGUAUUUUAUCACCUGGGAGCUUUUGAGGAGUCUCUGAAUUAUGCUCUUGGAGCAGGUGAUCUCUUCAAUGUCAAUGACAAUUCUGAGUAUGUGCAGACAAAAUGCAUCGAUCACUAUACCAAGCAGUGUGUGGAAAAUGCAGAUUUGCCUGAAGGAGAAAAAAAAACAAUUGACCAGAGAUUGGAAGCCAUUGUGAAUAAAAUGUUCCAACAAUGUCUAGAUGACACAAGUAUAAGCAGGCUAUCGGCAUCGCUUUGGAGACAAGAAGACUAGAUGUCUUUGAGAAGACCAUACUAGAAUCGAAUGAUGUCCCGGGAAUGCUAGCUUAUAGCCUUAAGCUCUGUAUAUCUUUAAUGCAGAAUAAACAGUUCCAGAAUAAAGUACUGAGAGUCCUAGUUAAAAUCUACAUGAACUUGGAGAAACCUGAUUUCAUCAAUGUUUGUCAGUGCUUAAUAUUCUUAGAUGAUCCUCAAGCUAUGAGUGACAUCUUAGAAAAACUGGUGAAGGAAGACAACCUCCUCAUGGCCUAUCAGAUCUGCUUUGAUUUGUAUGAAAGUGCCAGCCAGCAGUUUCUGUCCUCCGUGAUCCAGAAUCUUGGAACUGUGGGCACCCCCAUUGCCUCUGUGCCUGGCUCCACCAACACAGGCACUGUUCCAGGUUCUGAGAAAGACAGUGAAAUGAUGGAGACAGAAGACAAGACAGGCCGUACACUUGCUGGAAAGACACCAGAUGCGAGUCCAGAGCCCAAGGACCAGACUUCGAAAAUGAUUAAAAUUUUAAGCGGUGAAAUGGCUAUUGAGUUACAUCUGCAAUUUCUAAUACGGAAUAAUAACACAGACCUCAUGAUUCUAAAAAACACAAAGGAUGCAGUACGGAAUUCAGUAUGCCACACAGCAACUGUCAUAGCAAACUCUUUCAUGCACUGUGGGACUACCAGUGACCAGUUUCUUAGAGAUAACUUGGAAUGGUUGGCCAGAGCCACUAACUGGGCUAAAUUUACUGCUACAGCCAGUUUGGGUGUAAUUCAUAAGGGUCAUGAGAAGGAAGCAUUGCAGUUAAUGGCAACCUACCUUCCCAAAGACACGUUUCCAGGGUCAGCCUACCAGGAAGGCGGGGGGCUCUAUGCACUAGGGCUCAUCCAUGCCAAUCAUGGUGGCGACAUAAUCGAUUACCUGCUGCAUCAGCUCAAGAAUGCCAGCAAUGAUAUCGUUCAGCAUGGAGGCAGCCUGGGCCUUGGUUUGGCUGCCAUGAGAACUGCACACCAGGAUGUUUAUGAUUUCCUAAAAACCAACCUUUACCAGGAUGAUGCUGUGACAGGAGAAGCAGCUGGCCUGGCCCUAGGUUUGGUUAUGUUGGGCUCUAAAAAUGCCCAGGCUAUCGAGGACAUGGUUGGCUAUGCCCAGGAAACCCAGCAUGAGAAGAUCCUGCGUGGUCUCGCCGUCGGCAUUCCCUUAGUGAUGUAUGGGAGGAUGGAAGAGGUUGAUGCACUCAUUGAGUCUCUCUGUCAGGAUAAGGACCCAAUUCUUCGAAGGUCUGGAAUGUAUACAGUGGCCAUGGCUUAUUGUGACUCUGGUAACAACAAAGCUAUUCGACGCCGACUACAUGUUGCUGUCAGUGAUGUUAAUGACGAUGUUAGGAGGGCAGCAGUCGAAUCACUUGGCUUCAUUCUAUUCAGGACCCCUGAGUAGUGUCCCAGUGUGGUCUCUCUGCUGUCCGAGAGUUACAAUCCCCAUGUGCGCUACGGAGCUGCGAUGGCCCUGGGCAUCUGCUGUGCUGGUACAGGAAACAAGGAAGCUAUUAAUUUGCUAGAACCAAUGACAAAUGAUCCUGUGAACUACAUGAGGCAAGGGGCUCUCAUAGCCUCCAUGCUCAUCAUGAUCCAGCAGACUGAGAUCACAUGUCCAAAGGUGAAUCAGUUCCGACAGCUGUAUUCCAAAGUUAUCCAUGAUAAGCAUGAUGAUGUCAUGGCCAAGUUUGGCGCUAUUCUGGCCCAGGGCAUACUAGAUGCAGGUGGCCAUAAUGUUACAAUCUCCUUACAGUCCAGAACCGGGCACACACAUAUGCCUUCUGUGGUUGGCGUCCUUGUCUUUACCCAGUUCUGGUUCUGGUUUCCUCUCACAUUUUCUGUCAUUGGCUUAUACCCCUACCUGUGUCGGCCUGAACAAAGAUUUAAAGAUGCCGAAGGUGCAGUAUAAAUCAAACUGUAAACCAUCCACAUUUGUGUAUCCUGCACCUCUGGAAGUACCAAAAGAAAGGUUAGAUACCAACCUUUCAAGCCACUGUCCAUCGGAGGAAAAGAUUUCUACUGCUGUGUUGUCUAUUACUGCCAAAUCCAAAAAGAAGGAAAAAGAAAAAGAAAAAAAAAGGAGGAAGAGAAAAUGGAAGUGGAUGAAGCAGAGAAAAAAGAAGAAAAAGAGAAGAAAAAGGAACCUGAGCCAAAUUUCCAGCUGUUGGAUAACCCAGCCCGAGUUAUGCCUGCCCAGCUGAAGGUCCUUACCAUGCAAGAGACCUGUAGAUACCAACCUUUCAAGCCACUGUCCAUCGGAGGCAUCAUCAUUCUGGAGGACACCAGCGAAGACAUUGAGGAACUGGUGGAACCUGUGGCAGCACACGGCCCCAAAAUCGAGGAGGAAGAGCAAGAGCCAGAGCCCCCAGAGCCCUUUGAGUAUAUCGAUGACUAAGGGACCAGACGGGCUCUGGCCACUCAAAGCCCGGCCAGCUAUGGAGAGUGCGGCCAGCUGUGGAGAGCAUGCAGCGGGAGCCCUCGCAGGACCAGCAGGACCAUCUCCUCCAUGCAUGUGGCCUCGCUGUGCGCUCACCUCAAGA
Molecule: RNA transcript, 3024 nt
Organism: Octodon degus (degu)
Lineage: Eukaryota; Metazoa; Chordata; Mammalia; Rodentia; Octodontidae
Gene name: 26S proteasome non-ATPase regulatory subunit 1 pseudogene
Exons: 1
Source: RefSeq, a predicted model, not a curated record